RNAcentral lists this ribosomal RNA (1323 nucleotides) under Salmonella enterica. Its description in RNAcentral is "partial 23S ribosomal RNA". It matches the Rfam family "Bacterial large subunit ribosomal RNA", at positions 1501 to 2802 of the family's 2925-position model. Lineage: Bacteria; Pseudomonadati; Pseudomonadota; Gammaproteobacteria; Enterobacterales; Enterobacteriaceae. RNAcentral also lists the same sequence under 1 other name. The record is from RNAcentral.
GUUGUCCCGGUUUAAGCGUGUAGGUGUGUGUUCCAGGUAAAUCCGGUUCACUUUAACACUGAGGCGUGACGACGAGGCACUACGGUGCUGAAGCAACAAAUGCCCUGCUUCCAGGAAAAGCCUCUAAGCAUCAGGUAACAUCAAAUCGUACCCCAAACCGACACAGGUGGUCAGGUAGAGAAUACCAAGGCGCUUGAGAGAACUCGGGUGAAGGAACUAGGCAAAAUGGUGCCGUAACUUCGGGAGAAGGCACGCUGACACGUAGGUGAAGUGAUUUACUCAUGGAGCUGAAGUCAGUCGAAGAUACCAGCUGGCUGCAACUGUUUAUUAAAAACACAGCACUGUGCAAACACGAAAGUGGACGUAUACGGUGUGACGCCUGCCCGGUGCCGGAAGGUUAAUUGAUGGGGUCAGCGCAAGCGAAGCUCCUGAUCGAAGCCCCGGUAAACGGCGGCCGUAACUAUAACGGUCCUAAGGUAGCGAAAUUCCUUGUCGGGUAAGUUCCGACCUGCACGAAUGGCGUAAUGAUGGCCAGGCUGUCUCCACCCGAGACUCAGUGAAAUUGAACUCGCUGUGAAGAUGCAGUGUACCCGCGGCAAGACGGAAAGACCCCGUGAACCUUUACUAUAGCUUGACACUGAACAUUGAGCCUUGAUGUGUAGGAUAGGUGGGAGGCUUUGAAGUGUGGACGCCAGUCUGCAUGGAGCCGACCUUGAAAUACCACCCUUUAAUGUUUGAUGUUCUAACGUGGACCCGUUACCCGGGUUGCGGACAGUGUCUGGUGGGUAGUUUGACUGGGGCGGUCUCCUCCUAAAGAGUAACGGAGGAGCACGAAGGUUGGCUAAUCCUGGUCGGACAUCAGGAGGUUAGUGCAAUGGCAUAAGCCAGCUUGACUGCGAGCGUGACGGCGCGAGCAGGUGCGAAAGCAGGUCAUAGUGAUCCGGUGGUUCUGAAUGGAAGGGCCAUCGCUCAACGGAUAAAAGGUACUCCGGGGAUAACAGGCUGAUACCGCCCAAGAGUUCAUAUCGACGGCGGUGUUUGGCACCUCGAUGUCGGCUCAUCACAUCCUGGGGCUGAAGUAGGUCCCAAGGGUAUGGCUGUUCGCCAUUUAAAGUGGUACGCGAGCUGGGUUUAGAACGUCGUGAGACAGUUCGGUCCCUAUCUGCCGUGGGCGCUGGAGAACUGAGGGGGGCUGCUCCUAGUACGAGAGGACCGGAGUGGACGCAUCACUGGUGUUCGGGUUGUCAUGCCAAUGGCACUGCCCGGUAGCUAAAUGCGGAAGAGAUAAGUGCUGAAAGCAUCUAAGCACGAAACUUGCCCCGA